Sapajus apella (tufted capuchin) is the source of this 501-nucleotide long non-coding RNA. RefSeq lists it as uncharacterized. The record is from RefSeq and is a predicted model, not a curated record. The transcript is spliced from 3 exons. NCBI's taxonomy places the organism in Eukaryota, Metazoa, Chordata, Mammalia, Primates, Cebidae.
CCAUCCUACACAUAAAUCACUGUUCUCUAUUUUCUGAACACGAGCUGAUGCAGGGCCUAGGAGAGUCCUUGUGUGAAACUGAAUACGAAAUGUACGACGAUACGUGACGUACAAUGCACGCCCAUGAACUCUGCGUGGAUAGGUAGCGACGUAGGUAGUGCUGAGAAGAGAAACUACAAUUUGAGAUCCCACCUGUGGUUACAGAAAAGCAGACAGAGCCCUCGACGAAUUAAAUGUAGAAUACAUCAGAAAUGUGGCAGUACAAAAACGCCCCACAGACGAGGAAAUCCUAAAUCUGUUGUCUGCAUCUAACAAAAAGAACCUACAAGAGGUUCUAGGAGAGACUGGAUUCCUGUGAACGGUUUGUCAGAAUGGAAAAGGCAGAGGGGUCCAACCUGCCACCCAGAGACAAAGAAGCACAGGAAAAAGACCCAUGAAAACAGCCUUUCAAAUUCCCAGACCCUACAAACCAGCCCCUCAGGCAGCCUUGUCCAGCAAACU